AAGUUUCAAAAAGUCGGGCUCAGUGAUCAAUUAAUUUAAACAACAGACCGCCAAAAUUUAACCUUGGCCUCCAUGUUGCAACGUCUGCUCUGUCUAAAGGAGGAAGUUUGUUGACCAGACAGCCUGAGAUCGUAUUGCUGUAUCAACCAAAAGGUGCAGAUACACGUAUUUCAUAUGCGGUAGUGUCUGUGCAUGUAUGAGGAGGAGAUUUCUGAAAGUGGUUAUUCAACUUACUGCGAUUUUAACAGGCUUAAAGCUUGGUCCAUGGAUGGUUAUGUUUGAGGAUUUGCCAAUUCGACCGCAAGUGCUGCUGCAAGAAAUUAAACAUGCAGUGACCUUACAAAUUACAAAGAAGUCUGAAGAAAAUUUUAUUGGACAGAUGGGUGUAAAGCACAGACCUGAGAUAUAAAUUGAAUUGUGAGAAAUAUGAAUCAGGGAUGCAGGUAGAAAAUGGCAAAUGUGAUCCAGAUUGAUAAAAAAUGUCUAAAUUUUUUUCUUGUUUUGUAAAUAUUCAAUGCUUAGCCUAUGUCAGUUGUUAUUUUUUCCCCAAUAUCUAAUAGUGUUGAACAUUUCACUCCCACUUUUGCAUAAAUAGAAUGAAUAGAUUUCCAUUUAUUUAAUAUGAAUAUUAAAAAAUGCCACAUUUUUUCCAUGAUGAACUUGUGGCUUAAAUAAGAGUUCCAGCUUUUUUCCAUACAUGCUCCUAUUUGUUUGUCAAAGAUAUAAGAUCCAAUACAUUGCUCAUGAACAUAAUGUGUAAUUUUGUUCAUUCAUUAAUAUGUUUUUUUCUCAAAAUGAUAUAAUAAAUUGUAUAUAAUUUUGCACAUUGUUGAUGGUUUUGUAAAUAUUUAUGUAUGUAUGCAUCAUGUAGUGGUUUUAAGCCAUUUUAUAACCAUGUGAUUAACUCUGUAUUUUCUCCAGAUUUCCGUAUUUCCGCAUUUUAUCAACCAAGUAAAUACCUCCAUAUUUUGUAUAUAUGGAAAUGCGGAAAUGGAGAGAAUACGGAAAAAGAGUCCAAAUACUCCCAUCCACAUUUUCUCCAUAUUUUGAAUACGGAGAAAAUCUGGAAAUUUGAAUCUACGAAAAUCUGGAAUGAAUGCGGAAAAUUAGUCCAAAUACUCCCGUCCGCAUUUUCUCCUUAUUUUGAAUAUGGAAAAAAUGUGGAGA
Long non-coding RNA from Saccostrea cuccullata (small rock oyster), 1167 nucleotides. RefSeq lists it as uncharacterized. The record is from RefSeq and is a predicted model, not a curated record. Lineage: Eukaryota; Metazoa; Mollusca; Bivalvia; Ostreida; Ostreidae. The transcript has 3 exons.